UUGUUUUUUUGGUAUAAACCAAUAGAGCAAUAAUGAAGGUUUGUGUUUGGUAAGGUUAUUUGCCGUUCCUCAGUACGUACCAACAUCAAACUUACCUUUCUCUCUUUAUCUGUUCAAUUUUCUCGCCCAUCCAUUUCUAGGGUUUCGCUUCUGCAGCAACGGGUAUGCCUUCUUACACACAUCAAAGCUGACUUUAUUAGGCAAUUCAAUCCGUCUUGAGAAGAUUCGUAGUUUUUUUUGUUCAUCAUCACAAUGUCCACAAUGGAAUAUCAUGAAGAUUUUAUCAGCUAUCUUGAUUCUGAUACGUCUCUUAAGAUACUUAUGUGCCUGGAUGAUCCUGCUGAUCUUGUUCGUGUGACCUGUGUCUCCCGAUCUUGGAGACAAUCUGUGAUUGCAAAUGGUCUUUGCAAGCAGCUGUGCUUGAGAAUGUUUCCUCAAUUAUCUAGAGUUGCUUUUGUUGUUGAACUCAAUCAACAUGGAGGGAAGGAAAAUGCAGAGGUUGGAUCUAGUAAUUCUAUGGAAUGGCUAGUGCUACAGAGAGAACAUAGAGUUUUUUCUUAUUUAGGUAAAGCUCUCAUGUCAUCUGUUGCAAUGAAUUGCAUUGCUAAGACAAUUGGUGCUUCUAGCACUGAUAACUUUCCUCAGGAGAGCAUUGAUAAUACACUUGAGCCAAGAGAUGUCAUUGGUGGUAGAUAUUCCUACUGGUCAAGUAACGGACAAAGUAAUCCCAAUGUGCCCGAGACAUUAACAUACGAGUUGGUCUCUCAAAUUUGUCUUAUUACAGAAAUCAAUAUCCAGCCUUUUCAAGCUUACUUUCAGCUGGGGUCACCAAUAUACUCCGCAAGCUCUGUUCGGUUUAAAAUGGGUCAUCCUAAAGCCUCUUUAGAUGCUGUAGAUGAUGAAUUGUUUGUGUGGACCUAUACUUCACCGGAGUUUCCAAUGUCUCAGGAAAACGAACUACAGAAGUUCAAGCUUCCAGAACCUGUGCUUUGUAUUGGGGGUAUCUUGCAGAUUGAGCUUUUGGGAAGAGUACAGAGACAAGAAAUGGAUGGUUUGUUAUACAUUUGUGUUUCCCAUGUUCAAGUUCUGGGAGGCUCAUUGUCACCACCGUUCAAUGUGGAAAUUCUUGAGCCCUCUGGAAUGUUUGUGUUGAAGAGGGACCAGCUGGCUAACCAUCAACCUGUAUUGACAUCUGGAAAUGAAUCUGAAGAUGCUUCCGAGGAGCCAAGAAUAAUGAGAGAUAUCCAACGAAUUGUGACUAUAUUGCGUGCACAAGGAGUAGGAGUCUUGGAAGAUGAGUGGGAUGAUGAAGAAUAUGAUAUUGAUGAUUUUGAUCCAGAAUUUGCCCUUUGAUCUUUGCUUGCUUUUAUGAUCCCCUCCCAAAUAAAGAAAAGGGAAAAAAAAAUUAUAAUCUCCCCAGAUAUGGUGUUGAACAAAUAUUGCGCCUUUUUUGUCUGAGGUUUAACAUGAUGCUUGAAACUUGAGCUCUCUCACAAGUCGUAAACUUGUAUCAUCUACCCAAUUAUGGGGUUUUAGCAUCUGAUGCUACGUGCUGACAACAUCAUUUGUCACAAACUAAGCAUGAUAAGUUAAUCGACUUCGUUCCUAAUUUAUUGUACUAACCUUUUGUUGUGUUUCGAAUUACGUGCUCGUGGAAGAAAAAAAUGAAUGCACUUUGAGCAAAUCUUUGGCUUUGGCUGAAAAUAACCUCAACUGGGAAGGAACUUCAGUGAUGUUAUUUUAUUACAUGUAUUGUCUAUGUAAAAAAUUUCCAAAUAUUUUAGAGAAUAUUAAUAUUAGUUUGCCUUGCGGAA
This is an RNA transcript of Vigna unguiculata (cowpea), 1814 nucleotides long. It is a transcript of the gene named F-box family protein, with no coding region annotated. NCBI's taxonomy places the organism in Eukaryota, Viridiplantae, Streptophyta, Magnoliopsida, Fabales, Fabaceae. The record is from RefSeq and is a predicted model, not a curated record.